This is a non-coding RNA of Triticum aestivum (bread wheat), 116 nucleotides long. NCBI's taxonomy places the organism in Eukaryota, Viridiplantae, Streptophyta, Magnoliopsida, Poales, Poaceae. The record is from Rfam.
UACAUACUCCCUCCGUUCGGAAUUACUUGUCGCGAAAGUGGAUGUAUCUAGAUGUAUUUUAGUUCUAGAUACAUCCAUUUCCGAGAGAAGUAAUUUCGAACGGGAGGAAGUACAUC